RNAcentral lists this ribosomal RNA (731 nucleotides) under Flavobacterium sp. RNAcentral's name for it is "bacterial SSU rRNA". It matches the Rfam family "Bacterial small subunit ribosomal RNA", at positions 59 to 790 of the family's 1533-position model. Lineage: Bacteria; Pseudomonadati; Bacteroidota; Flavobacteriia; Flavobacteriales; Flavobacteriaceae. The record is from RNAcentral.
CAGUCGAGGGGUAUAGCACUUCGGUGCUAGAGACCGGCGCACGGGUGCGUAACGCGUAUGCAAUCUACCUUUUACAGAGGGAUAGCCCAGAGAAAUUUGGAUUAAUACCUCAUAGUAUAGCUGAAUCGCAUGAUUCUACUAUUAAAGUCACAACGGUAAAAGAUGAGCAUGCGUCCCAUUAACUAGUUGGUAAGGUAACGGCUUACCAAGGCUACGAUGGGUAGGGGUCCUGAGAGGGAGAUCCCCCACACUGGUACUGAGACACGGACCAGACUCCUACGGGAGGCAGCAGUGAGGAAUAUUGGACAAUGGGCGCAAGCCUGAUCCAGCCAUGCCGCGUGCAGGAUGACGGUCCUAUGGAUUGUAAACUGCUUUUGUACGAGAAAAAACACUACUUCGUGAAGUAGCUUGACGGUAUCGUAAGAAUAAGGAUCGGCUAACUCCGUGCCAGCAGCCGCGGUAAUACGGAGGAUCCAAGCGUUAUCCGGAAUCAUUGGGUUUAAAGGGUCCGUAGGCGGUUUAGUAAGUCAGUGGUGAAAGCCCAUCGCUCAACGGUGGAACGGCCAUUGAUACUGCUAGACUUGAAUUAUUAGGAAGUAACUAAAAUAUGUAGUGUAGCGGUGAAAUGCUUAGAGAUUACAUGGAAUACCAAUUGCGAAAGGCAGGUUACUACUAAUGGAUUGACGCUGAUGGACGAAAGCGUGGGUAGCGAACAGGAUUAGAUACCCUGG